Molecule: long non-coding RNA, 248 nt
Filed under: Nicotiana benthamiana
Lineage: Eukaryota; Viridiplantae; Streptophyta; Magnoliopsida; Solanales; Solanaceae
Description: long non-coding RNA (NBEN_LNC013847)
Source: RNAcentral
AUAAUUUUAAGUGUGGGGUGGGAGACUUACUAUGGUAGUGCAUUGUAGUGUAUAUAUACAUUGAGUAUAUUUUAGUAUUAGAUUGAUGUUGUUAUGUAUAAUUGACUGUACUCAUAUUAGAAGCAACUGACUUGGGCCAACGACGGACACUUGUCGACGGGUCUCUUGAGGGUCAAAGUCGGAUAUAUAAAAAAAACUAAAAACUGAAAAAAAAAAUGUAGAGGACUCUUCCUGAGGACGGACCACUU